CAAAAUAUAGCUACAAAAGAAGCGUUUCUUUUACAAAGAAAAAAGAUUUGUGAAAUUCAAAUUAUUUUGA
This 70-nucleotide transfer RNA is filed under the name Scotoplanes sp. TT-2017. Its description in RNAcentral is "tRNA-Val". The record is from RNAcentral. Lineage: Eukaryota; Metazoa; Echinodermata; Holothuroidea; Elasipodida; Elpidiidae. RNAcentral also lists the same sequence under 2 other names.